AGAGACCUUGCUUAUUCUUCACGUGAAGUACUUCAACCUGAUGAAUGGUGGAGGCUACAUGGAUAUAGUGCACCACAUUUACAAAAGUUGGCCAUUCAAAUAUUGAGCCAAACCGCAUCGUCUUCUGGAUGUGAGAGGAAUUGGAGUGUCUUUGAACGUAUACAUACCAAAAGAAGGAAUAGAUUGGAACAUCAAAGGCUUAAUGAUCUUGUAUACGUUCAUUACAAUUUGCGGCUAAAAAAUCGGUUUUAUAACAAGAAAAGAAUCUAUGAUCCCAUUGACUAUGCAUGCAUUGAUGAGACCGAUUUUUGGGUAGUUGAUGACGAUCAGCCAGCAGAGCUAGAUGUUGAAGAAUUGGAAAAUCUUCUAUAUGAAGAAGGGUCAAUUCCAAUAAAUGAAGUGGAAGGUUCAAGUUCUCACAUUGGUUAG
Long non-coding RNA from Vitis vinifera (wine grape), 429 nucleotides. RefSeq lists it as uncharacterized. The transcript has 3 exons. The record is from RefSeq and is a predicted model, not a curated record. Lineage: Eukaryota; Viridiplantae; Streptophyta; Magnoliopsida; Vitales; Vitaceae.